GCGCGGGUAGCCAAGCGGCAACGGCAACUGGCUGUAAACCAGCCGUCCUUCGGGGCUUCGGGAGUUCGAGUCUCUCCCCGCGCACCA
Molecule: transfer RNA, 87 nt
Filed under: Actinomycetota bacterium
Lineage: Bacteria; Bacillati; Actinomycetota
Description: tRNA-Tyr
Rfam family: tRNA
About the family: Transfer RNA (tRNA) molecules are approximately 80 nucleotides in length. Their secondary structure includes four short double-helical elements and three loops (D, anti-codon, and T loops).
Source: RNAcentral